CCCAUACAGGCUCAGGCCCCAAAGCUGAGCUUCCUUGGAGACUCGGCAUCCAGCAGAGCAGAGAGGACUUUGACCUGCAGCCCAUGUGACAGAGGCUGAAAGAGAACAAGGAGGAAAAGAUGAUCCUGGACGGACAGAGGCACAGAGAAGGAGGCACAGGAGGCAGCCUUUGACCUGACCCUGCAGGACAGGAGGGAUGUGGACCAGCAAAGACGAGGGAAGGCGGCCUGAGCACCAGCCCAGAGCCAGGCAUGAGAGGCAGAGAUCAGGAGGAGGAGGAUAUGCUGUUACCCCAUUUUUCAAACGAAGAAACUGAGGCACAGAGAGGUGAAGUUGCUUGCCUAAGGUUACACAGCUGGAAGGCUGGUUCUCCUGGUCAACUGGUCGGGCAGGGAAGGAGGGCAGAGCUGUUCAAGAGCCUGGUCAGGUGGCUUGGCUGUAGUCCCCAGCUCAGCCUCCCCUGCUGCUAACUCUGGACCCCACCAUGGGGACCACAUGACCUCAACAGGAAGGAAACAGACCCAGGAGGAUCUCAUGCCACACCUGCCACGGCUCCACCUGCCCCACAACUCACCACACCCAACCCUCCCUGCCCAGUGCAUUUGCAAAAGAGAAACACCGAACACACACAAAUAAUAACCAACCCCGUGUGUUUCCUGGCAUCGGGUGACUGUUUGGUCAAGAGCUUCCUCCCUCAUCAUGUACCUGCCAGACACUCCUAACCCCCACCCGGUGCUGCCGGCUCGGGCGGCUGAUCACAAGCUUGAUCCCCAGGAC
Long non-coding RNA from Camelus dromedarius (Arabian camel), 777 nucleotides. RefSeq lists it as uncharacterized. Lineage: Eukaryota; Metazoa; Chordata; Mammalia; Artiodactyla; Camelidae. The record is from RefSeq and is a predicted model, not a curated record. The transcript is spliced from 3 exons.